AAAUAAGAAGUAAUAAAAUUACAUAUUAAUUUCGACUUAAUAAUCAGAUACUACAAUAUCCUUAUUUU
This 68-nucleotide transfer RNA is filed under the name Therioaphis trifolii (yellow clover aphid). RNAcentral's name for it is "tRNA-Arg". Lineage: Eukaryota; Metazoa; Arthropoda; Insecta; Hemiptera; Aphididae. The record is from RNAcentral.